AGGAAAUGGCAGAACAGGGCUACAUGGCUAUAACAAUGCUGCAACAUCAAUAGCCUGCAAGGGCCCCAGGUUGGAAUCCAACUCAGGCCGCUGCUAUGGGCUCAGCCCACAUGUGGCACACACUCUAUCUGCCUCUACACUGGAACAACCUUCUUCAAAGUGUCAGGACAACAAAAUCCACAGCGAUUAAAAAAAACACUUUUCCUCUGCAGCCUUUCACUGUGACUGAUGUGUUUUUCCCGCUUUUUUGAAACAUGCUUGGUCUUCUUUGUUCAGCUUGUUUCUUGUUUGUUAAAUUGUCUUUCAAACUGUCAAAGCGUUAUGGUGGAGUCACUAAAUAAUAAAGAGGAUUUCAGGGAUCAUGUGACCGUCCACAUACCCACCAGAGAAUGUAUUGUGUAUGAUGACAUCUUUGAGACAGUGUAAAUAAUAUAAAACUUAGUGCUACGGUGUCAUAGUUUAGGAAACACAGAAGCUGCCAGGAAGUAUAAGGAAACAAGGAGAACUGGUGUGAAUGGCUGUUUGUUAAAAAAAAAAAAGAAAACAAAAAAAAAGAAAUAAAAUAAAAUAAACUGACUGGUCUAAAAAGGUGACACCAAAAAGUGCAAGGCUGUGCAUCACCAGUCAGAGUGCAACCACCAGGGCGAGGGAACAGCUGAGGACAACGACACUGCUGACAGUCACUGAGAUGAAAUGUUCAUUCUGAAGGCAUUCAGCCACGACCAGAGAAGGCAACUGCCACACAGACCCAGAGCCCCAAAACUUCAAAACCCCAAAACCCCAG
Epinephelus fuscoguttatus (brown-marbled grouper) is the source of this 784-nucleotide long non-coding RNA. RefSeq lists it as uncharacterized. The record is from RefSeq and is a predicted model, not a curated record. NCBI's taxonomy places the organism in Eukaryota, Metazoa, Chordata, Actinopteri, Perciformes, Serranidae. The transcript is spliced from 3 exons.